This 33385-nucleotide long non-coding RNA is filed under the name Malus domestica (apple). Its description in RNAcentral is "long non-coding RNA (MDOM_LNC004912)". Lineage: Eukaryota; Viridiplantae; Streptophyta; Magnoliopsida; Rosales; Rosaceae. The record is from RNAcentral.
AAAGUGUCAUGACCUACUUUUGUUAAUUUACUAAAUUUGUAAAAGAAAAAGAAAAUGACCAUUUUCGUACUCAAUUUUUGUUAGGACAAAUAAUAAUUUACACUAAUUUACACUAUAUGAGAGGAGGGUUUGAAAUUGGAACACAAUAUCACUAGGGCUUCACCACUUAUCCAAAUAUAUUUUAACCGAGUAAAAAAUAUUGUCUAUUCCAUUAAAAAAAUGUUUUUUUGGCCAAAAUGGUUUUUGAGAUGGACAUCUUUUUAUUUUUGUCCCUAAGUUUGUCCACCCUUAAUGAAAAAUCUUCGUAAACUAAGGACCAAAAUGACAACAACAAAAAUUCGUCAGUUUUUGUCAUUUGAUCCUUAUUUAUCGAAGAUUUAUUACGCAAGGAUUAAAAUGAUUGAGGGUGGGACAAACUUAGAGACCACUUCUAAUGAUGUCAAAUCUCAAAAAUUAAAAUGAAGAAUUAUGUCAUUCUCAGGAAUCAUCUUGGUUAAAAAGCCUUAAAUAAAUUGAAUUUAAGAAAAAUAAACAAAUAAAUGUCUCUGUUUACAUACUCUCCUGUUUCUUAGGACAUCAAUUUCCCAAUCCUAUUGGGAUUAGGAAAAAUUCCUAAACCGCGCACCGCCAAUCCCAACCCUCAACUAUAAAUAGACUUUAGCCUUCCAUUAAUUACAUUACAAGCUACAAUUUCCAGUUCAUUCGCUUUCCGCAUUCGAUUGCUCUGCCAAGUAGUAGUUGCUUAGAAAGCAAGUUAGGGUUUCCAAGUUAGAAAUCUACGACUUUGGAAUCGGAAGAGAUGGCUGCUCUAGUUAUGCGUCCUGCCAAGACGAAGCAAUUCGACUUCCUUCAACUCAGGCAGCAACUGAAAGAUCGCAUUCGCAUGAAGAAAUCAGGAGGCUCUGCUGCUGCUCAAGGCUGCUCGGUUAAUAGUACUACUGAUGAUGAGGAGAAGAAAUUGCCUUUCGACAACUUUGGAUCCUUCUUUGGUCCCUCGGAGCGUGUCAUGGCCAAGAGAGUGCACGAAGAGAUGAAGGAUUUCGUGCCGGAGUUGAAGAAGUUGGCGUCUAGGGUUCUGAAUUCCUGUGACAAGGCUAAAACCGCCGCAAAGAGUCCUGCCCCCUUGAGCAAGGCAUUGAAGUGUAAAAUCAUCAAGGAGUCCCGGGAUUAUUCCUUUUUGCAAUCCGAUGGUGCAGAAAUUCCAAAGCCGUCUAAAGGAGAGCCUGAAGAAGUUGGCAAGAGAAAAACCUCCUCUGCAAAGUCUGAAUCCUCUUCAACAAAGCAAUGUAGCACAAAUCCAACGCCAAAACAAAAGAAAUCUGUCUUGAAACAUCCAAUCAAAUAUCGCGUGAAGGAGGAGCAUCCGGAGGCUGUGAUUGGCAAAGCCUCCUUGGCAAAGUCAGAAUCUUGUUCAACAAAGCAAGGCUUGAAGCAAACAAAGCAAUCUAUUGAGCUGAAACGCACAGCAAAACCGAUGCCACCGAAAGUAUCUGUCUCGAAGAAUCAGGUCAAACACCGUGUCAAGGAGGAGCAAUCAGUUGAUGUUUCUUCUGUGAUCCAGGAGAUAUUUGGGCGUAACCGCAAGCGCCCUAGGGAGGAUGAUGACGGAGAUGGUCGUGCGAUGGUGUCCAGUUUUGAUGACAUUCUGAAGGAAGAGAGGAAGAGUGCAAAAAUUGCCAGGGAGGAAGAUGAAAGAGAGCGGUUGCUGCUCGAACAAGAGGAGAAGCAUGAAGAAGGAUUAAAAGCAACAAAGAAGCUGAAGAUUAAUAUCAAAUUAUCCAAAACAUGAUGUUGUUCCAUUUAGAUUUUGGAGAUUUCAUUUAUUCAGAUAAUUGGAUUUCAAUUCCUUAAUAACAAGUUCUUUUUAAGGAAAUUGAUCUUAAUGUAAGAUCUUUAAGGAAAUUAUUGAUAAGAGUAGAAGUUUCAAGUAUUUUUAUUUGUGUCUAUUGGGUUAAUGAUUCGGAAAAAUCCGUAAGCAUCUACCCUUUUUUUGGGUCAUUGUCCUUUGUGAAGUGAACUAGUUGCUUUUAGAACAAGUCACGGUUUCAAAAUUUGAAAUUUAACUCUUCUUGGGAUGGGAAAACAUGGCUUCUGAAAUUUCGCAUCUUUCUGAUGCGGAGCAGUUCUUUCUCCAGCUGAGGCAGCAAAUGAAAGAGAGCAUUAGAGAACAUAACAUGUAAAAAUUAGGAGGCUCUGCUGCUGCUCAGGGCUGCUAUGACAGUUACAAUAACAAGAAAUUUCCUUUCGACAAGUUAUCUAGCCUUUUAAAUCUGGAGACUUGGUAUUCCUCCUUGCUAGCAGUACUGGAUGAAAAACCAUUCUUGAACGAUAAUCAGGUUAAAAACAAUAUGAUUAAGGAAACAUAUAAGGACGCAAUCAUAAGCGACAUAGGGAGGAUGACGACAGCAAGAACUAAAAAGGAGAGUGGCAACAAUCAAGAAAACUCCAUCUUCGUCUUGUUCCAGCAUUCCUUGUGCCACAAGUAAUGUUGAUGUUAAAUAAUUGGAAAAAUGUGGAGGACUGUUUCGUCCAUCUGAGCCGCUGACUCAUCUAUCCAAAUUAUCCGUGAUUUCUGAUAACAUUUCUGUUGUUGGUGGGAGAGGGCGGGCUGCUUGUAGAGAUUAUCCGCAUUCAAGGCACCUCUGUGUGAAAUUCCUUUUCAAAACAACGCCUCAUGAAAGCUACUGCGAAUUGUGCUACUGCUACGUUUGUGAUUCACCCGCUUCGUGCAGGUUUUGGCAGGUUCUAAAAGUCGCUAGGCGCUAGUCGGGCGGCAGGCUGGGGCCUAGCGCCUAGGCGGCUAGGCGGGGUCUAGGCGGGCGCCUAGGCGGACUAGGCAGAUUUAAGUAAAUCUAUCAUAUUUCAUGUAAAUAAGUGUCUGCUUCUACUUGAAAUAUAUAUAAUUUCAUCAUAAACUACAAAAUAGAAUGCAUAUAUAUCAUGAAGUAUUGGAACAUAAUGAAAGCAUGUGAAAUAAGGAUAUAAUGUUUGUUCAUUCAAGUAUGCAACAAGUCUCUUACAAUUUAUUGGAAAAAAACAAAAUGCAAAAUGAAAGUUAUGUAUUUUCUGUCUUGGUGAGUUGCAACCUAAGCGAGUCUAGGCGGGUGCCUAGGUGGGCUAGGCGGGUGCUUAGGUGGUCUAGGCGGUGGGCUGGGGCCUAAGCAUUAAUCGGGGCGGUGGGCUGGGGCCUAGCGCCUAGGCGGGGCCUAGGCGGCGCUAGACGGGGAUUUUUAGAACAAUGGGUUUUGGAAACCAACACGUUGUCAUACUUCUGAGCACAUUGGUGACUGGAAGUCCAGAAGGAAGUUGAGGAACAGCAAGUGACGCGGGGACGACGCCGGCUAAGAAAUGAACAAACUUGUUCAUUAGGCCAAAUACAUUGCAGUUAAUGGUGGUAAGGUGCAAAUAACUUUGUUUAUACUUCUAAUAUGUAUGACUUGAGAAGAUGUAGUAGUAGUUACUACUGAAUUUCUUUCUGAUAUAUAUCGAAUCGAAUUCGAUUUGUUCAGUUAUAUAAUGAAAUUAUUGACCUAAGUUGUCUAAUUAUUAAAUGUUUUUGUCUAUAAAAAUGAGGGUCAUUUCCGUUCAUCUGAUAGUUGGGAGUGAGUUGGUAUGUUAUUUUUGUUGUUGAAAAAUUAUGUGUAAGAAUAAUGCCCUGAGGACAGAGUUAAUUUUUUUUUAUUUAAAAAAAGUAUAUAUUUAUAUACCAACCAAUUACGACAUGUCGUUCUAAGUGAAUUGAAGUCGUCUCGCUCCUAAAACCCUAAACCCUUCUCCACACAGUCCCCUUCAGUUCCGUUCCCGCUGAGCUUUUACCAGAAGCAGCCAUGGCCUCAAUCCUCUCCAAGAAGCAGAAGCAGAAGCAAAAAGCCACCAAGCUUUCCGACCUCAAAACCCUAGGGAACGAGCUCCUCUCGUCUCGGGCCCACAUCAACAACCUCCCCAAGCUCCUCUCCUUCGUUUCCCCGGCCUCGCCGCCUCAGUAUAUCGUCGAGUCCCUCCUCUCUCUCCAGUCAUUCUUCACCCCUCUCCUCCCCGACCUCCCUCCCUCCUCCUCCAAGCCCUCCGCCUCCGAUGGCUCCCACGACGACCCCGACUUCAUAUACCGAACCUGUCUCCGCUCCAAGUUCGACGAGCUCGUUGAGGUCCUCGUCGAAGUCCUGCUUUCUACGCAAUCCGAUGAAAUUCUCAAGGUCGCUUUUUGAUUUUUUGAAUGUCAGUUCUUUUCUCUUUUGGUUUUGUAUAAGUAUGAUUUCGAUUUUAGAAUUCGAUUCUCUGAAUGUGAUUAGGAGGUGGUGUUGGACACGAUAAUGGAGUUUGUGAUGUUCGGAAAUGGCGGAAAGUUUCACUCUGCAAUGUACCAUAGGCUGCUUCGUAGUAUUGGAAGUUGUAUUGAUUCUCCAAAAGCUUAGUUUGAGUUUUAUUUUUUCAUAUUUCUCUGUUGUAAUUUCAAUAGUAAGCUAUAAUUUUUUUUGUUAUCGCUGAUAGGUUUACACUACGUCACCAGUUGAUUUGUUGUUAGACUUGCUUUCAUCCAAGUAUUUCAAGUAUAUUGAUGUCCGGUAAGAUCACAUUCCAUUGAUUUUAGGAAUUAUGAUAUUUCUUAGGACUUCUAUUAUUUGUUGGAACCUUUAUUGUGGAAAUUUGUGGUACUGGCCACUUAAAAAGUGCAAUAAUUGUGGCAUCUAUUUCUUGCAGUUAUUUUACCUACAUUAGCUUGGAAAAGCUUUCCAAAGUUCUGGAUGCAAAUGGGAUUUCUGGUACUUUCUGCUGUGUUUCUUGCAAAAACUUAUGUUUUUCAUCUUUUCGAGUGAGGGUAGUGGCGAUGUUAUAGUUAACUUAGUAGGUUUGUUCAUUUCUAUCUCCCUCUUAGAGGAUAAAAACAUCAAGACAGACGGUAAAGAUGUGGAGCAUCCUAGGGAAAGGUUAGUAUAACGCUAUCGCUUAGGAAAUUUCUGUUCUCUUAUUCUCUCAUUGAACUUCUCUUGUUAAGAGAUGUACAUGACCCUAAUAUAGAAUGUGUUGCCUUCUGUGCUCUGAUUGAGUCAGACAUAAUGGCAAGUGUUGAAGUUAUUGUUACAUUCUGCAUAUGCAGAUUGUUGACAAUAUGUGUAGAUGUUUUGGUCUCAGAUCAAGAUUUCUUGGAAUUAAACAUUUUACUUUUACGUUACUUGGAUCUUUGUAUACCUUUAUGUAAUAUUGGAUUCUUCCUUGACUCAAAGUCCAUUUUCAUCUGUGCUAUUCUUUUAUUUUGUAAUCGAGUCAAUGAAUUUAUGUUUAGCAUGCAUAUGUGUUGGAUUAACUCCGCCUAUGUCUUACAUGGCCGGUCCCAAGCCCGGAUAAAGGAGGAGGGGGAGGGCGUCAGGUAGUCGACAGCCGGCACUCCAUGAUCACGUCGAAUCCUUAUGAAAAUGAAUCCAGGCGUUCUAAGAUUCAUAUAGCCGAUCCCACUCAGUGACUUGGAUUUUCCAAGUCUCCAACCGAGAAGUUUUCCUCACUCGGGAAAUUAAGGGAACACUACCCCAACCUACAUGCUCCACUCAGAAAGCUUCAACAUACAAGCUUUAACAAAAGAAAAUUCAAAGAACUUAGCGAAGAAGGCUUUGGUGUAUUUAACACAAUACGUUGAAAUGAAGGAAAGCUUAUUUAUUGAUAUCCCCGAUAAGCUACAAAUAUGUACAUAUACAUGAGUCAAAAUAAGCACACAAGAGGGAGCCUUCACAAAGGUUGCUUAGGAGAAGUCUCAGCAGUCGGUAGAGCCCCAGAAAGAGAAGGCACCGGAGGGGGAUCAUUUGGAGCCUCAGUACUGGACAGAACCCUAGAAGGAGGAGGCAUCAGAGGUUGAUCAUUUGGAGCUUCAUUACGCGGUACAGCCCCAGAAGACGAAGGCAAUAAAUGCCUUUGGAACAAACCCACAAAUCUCUGAUGAUCAAGUAAAACCUGACCAUCAGUUUCCUUCAUCUGGUCAAGCUUCCUCUUCAUGUUUGUAGCAUAGUCAUGUGCGAGCCGGUGCAAUUGUUUAUUCUCAUGCUUGAGCCCUCUAAUCUCCUGUUUGAGACUCAUCACUUCAGCCGCCAAUGAUUCAACUUGGCGGGUUCGAGCAAAAUAGGCGUUGGGCCAUAUUAGACACAGAACCUGCACACUGAACACUGAGAGCCAGCGAAUCCUUAACAGCUAACUCAUCAGACCGUUUGGAAAGUAGUCUGUUAUCUUUGGGAGUGAGAAGGUUCCUGGCCACCACCGCAGCGGUCAUAUCAUUCUUCAUCACGGAAUCCCCAACGGUAAGAGGACCAGUAGGGGAGACGAAGGAUGGGCGCCAUAUGUUGUCUGGAGAAGGCGGGGCUGCCUCUUCAACAAGGUUCAAGUCAAAACGACGGUCGGAGGGGCCAGACAUUUUCAAAGGUGUUGAAGAGAGAAGAGGUCGGACAAAUCAAGAUCUUAGAAGUGCAAGAAUGAAGCUUCUACUGGUGGAGAUUCAAGUGUGCUUUGGAACUUAAUGCCAGCCCCUAUAAAAAUCUGCACUCGACGAAGCUUCAGAAAUCGAAGAGGCGCCUGCUCAGAAAUCGAAGAGGCGUUUGCUUUCUCAAAAGCUGGGCUGCUUAGAGAUCACGAGGGUUGAUCUCAGAAAUCGAAGAGGCGUUUGCUUUCUCAAAAGUUGGGCUGCUCAAAGACCACGAAGGCCGAUCUCAAAAAUCGAAGAGGCGCUCGCUUUCUCAAAAGCUGGGCUCUCCCAGAGACCACGAGGGCCGAUCUCAGAAAUCGAAGAGGCACCUACUUUUCCAGCCUUUUCCAGCCUUGUCAGCACUUGUCACACGCACACUCAGUUUUGCGGAAAUUAUGGGCAUUCUGUCAAAGACUUCUGGGGAAGUAGAAAACACAUGAAUCUUACUGUUCAAUCACCCACUUCCCACACGCAACAAUAGCUCAUGGGUACCACAGAUAACUUUGCCAAAGUUCUCUGCCAAAGUUGAGCACGUGAAGCUUGCAGCUCCCACUACAUCGCUCUGACCAAGAAGGGUAAAAGAAUAGCAAAGAAACAGCACUAACAAAGUUUAGACCCAUAAACUUUGAAGGUCUAGCUACCAUAUUAUUACCCACAAGGGUAAAGGUAAAGGAACAGUACCACUGCUGGAUAAUUGGAAAGUCCCUGUGUGUCAACCUCUGUGCUUCGUGGCAAGGUAGACUAGCAAACAUGCCCAACCUUUACUCACAUUCGAGAAAACACUCCCAAUAAGAUUGCUUGCUCCAAAAUCGAAGAGGCACCGUCCUCCGAAUCUCGAGAGCCAGACUCCCAACAUGACUACUUUCUUAAAAAUCGAAGAGAGGGUAAAGGAACAGUACCAUUGUUGGAUAAUUGGAAAGUCCCUGUGUGUCAACCUCUGUGCUUCGUGGCAAGGUAGACUAGCAAACAUGCCCAACCUUUACUCACAUUCGAGAAAAACACUCCCAACAAGAUUGCUUGCUCCAAAAUCGAAGAGGCACCGCCCUCCGAAUCUCGAGAGCCAGACUCCCAACAUGAUUACUUUCUCAAAAAUCGAAGAGACACUGCUCCCCGAAUCUCGAGAGCCAGACCCCCAGCAUGAUUGCUUUCUCAAAAAUCGAUGAGGCAUCGUUCUCCGAAUCAAUCGAAGAGGCGCUCGCUUUCUCAAAAGCUGGGCUGCUCAGAGACCACGAGGGCCGAUCUCAGAAAUCGAAGAGGCACCUACUUUUCUAGCCUUGUCAGCACCUGUCACACGCACACUCAGUUUUGCAGAAAUUAUGGGCAUUCUGUCGAAGACUUCUGGUGAAGUAGAAAGCACAUGAAUCUUACUGUUCAAUCACCCACUUCCCACACGCAACAAUAGCUCAUGGGUACCACAAAUAACUUUGCCAAAGUUCUCUGCCAAAGUUGAGCACGUGAAGCUUGCAGCUCCCACUACAUCGCUCUGACCAAGAAAGGUAAAAGAAUAGCAAAAGAAACAGCACUAACAAAAGUUUAGACACAUAAAUUUUGAAGGUCUAGCUACCAUAUUAUUACCCACAACUGUAAAGGAACAGUACCACUGGUGGAUAAUUGGAAAGUCCCUGUGUGUCAACCUCUGUGCUUCGUGUGGCAAGGUAGACUAGCAAACAUGCCCAAACCUUUACUCACAUUCGAGAAAAACACUCCCAAUAAGAUUGCUUGCUCCAAAAUCGAAGAGGCACCGUCCUCCGAAUCUCGAGAGCCAGACUCCCAACAUGACUACUUUCUCAAAAUCGAAGAGAGGGUAAAGGAACAGUACCAUUGCUGGAUAAUUGGAAAGUCCCUGUGUGUCAACCUUUGUGCUUCGUGGCAAGGUAGACUAGCAAACAUGCCCAACCUUUACUCACAUUCGAGACAACACUCCCAACAAGAUUGCUUUGCUCCAAAAUCGAAGAGGCACCGCCCUCCGAAUCUCGAGAGCCAGACUCCCAACAUGAUUACUUCCUCAAAAAUCGAAGAGACACUGCUCUCCGAAUCUCGAGAGUCAUACCCCCAGCAUGAUUGCUUUCUCAAAAAUCGAAGAGGCAUCGUUCUCCGAAUCUCGAGAGCCAGAUACCACAGACCACUUUUUCAAAGUGCUCUGACAGAGUUAAAACAUGUGAAACUGGCAGCUCCCACUACCGUGCUAUGACCAAGCAGGGUAAAGGAAUAGCAUUACUACUUGUUGUUAGGGAGACUCCUAUAUAUGUCGACCUCCAUCCCCAACGGACAGGCAGACCUGCAAAAAUGCUCAACCCUUCAUCAUAUCUGAGAGGGCACUCCCAACGAAGCCUUUCGAAAUAUUCAGCUUUCUUUCCCCCCGAUAAUACCUCUGCAAACAAGCUAUACUAGAGCAAGAAUAUCUCAUAAUCAUCAGGGUUAAAAGCAAGAGUAUCCCAUAUCAUGCUUUUUUCCCUGUCUUUUUUCUUUUGGCCUUGUUUUUUACCUGCAAGACAAGGAGAAAGAGAGCAAUCAGUCAGCACUUGGAAUCAAGCUUCCAGCCAGGAACUGACUGCCUGGAACCCCUUACCUGAUUACUUACCUGGCAUUGCUCUCGAGUACUCAUCUUCAACAUCUUUAUGUUUCCAGGGAAGAUUCCGCAUCUGCUUGAGGAACAGAUAGGGCAAGUGCGAAGGAUACAAGGAAGCAUGUGGAGACAAGCGUAACAGCACACGUGCCGAUACAUUCAUUACUCUGUCAAAAGCAAAAGUAUCCCAUAUCAGCAGGGUGGAACGUACUCUAGAUUUGAUGGACUUGUUUUGACCCUCAAAUUCUUCAGUCGACCUUAUACUCUGGAGGAAACCAGAAAACCCUCCAGCUCAGUUCAAGAAUAAGCCUGUGGAAAGUUACUUCUUCAAAAGCAAAAGUAUCUCAUAUCAUCUCUUCUCAUUUUUCUUCUCUUUAUCCUUCAUGCUGCUGCUGCAAGAUGGGGAGAAGGUGAAUAAUCAGUCGGAGCUCUGAUUGCUUACCUUGUCUGUCACCUCUUUCAGCAGACCCCCUAGCUCGGCGACUUGGGGGACUCCUACUACAUGGUUUGUAUCGCGCUUGACCAAGCCUGAAACUACAAGUAAGCUUCAAGUGAAAUUGAUACAUUACCUUGUGGCAUCUCCACCAGUUAAAGAUACCACCCCUGGAUGGAGGAAGAGUACUUCCAGAGAAGAUGCCACAUCUACCUAUGAGACAGAUAAGGCAAGUCAAGACGACACCACACUCCGAUACUUAGAAGUUUCGUGAUUACGAGAUCAUUCUCCCACAAUAUUUCCUAAUGUCAUUUGUACUAAAUCAUUCACUUGUACUCACUAAAUGAGAGCUUGAACCUAUGUACUUGUGUAAACCCUUCACAAUUAAUGAGAACUCUUCUAUUCCGUGGACGUAGCCAAUCUGGGUGAACCACGUACAUCUUGUGUUUGCUUUCCUAUCUCUAUCCAUUUAUAUACUUAUCCACACUAAUGACCGGAGCAAUCUAGCGAAGAUCACAAAAAGCGAUCGUUUUCGCUACCUAGGAUCUAUCUUGCAAGAGAACGGAGAAUUAGAUGGAGAUCUCAACCAUAGAAUACGAGCUGGAUGGAAAGAGUGCAUCCGGCAUGUUGUGUGACCGUCGUAGGCCACUGAAGCUCAAGGGAAAAAUUUUAUAGGACGGCAAUAAGGCUAGCGAUGUUGUAUGGCACAGAAUGUUGGGUGGUGAAGCAUCAACACGUACACAAAAUGGGUGUAGCGGAGAUGAGGAUGCUUCGUGGGAUGUGUGGGCACACGAGAAAGGAUAAGAUUGGGAAUGAGGAUAUCCGAGGUAAAGUAGGAGUAGCCGAAAUUGUAGGAAAUAUGAGAGAAAAUCGGCUCCGGUGAUUUUGAACAUGUGCAAAGAAGGCCGACUGACGCUCCGGUUCGAAGAUGUGACUACGGGACAGAGGUUCAGGGCCGAAGGGGUAGAGGAAGACCUAGGACAACUUUGGAAGAGACUCUAAGAAAAGACUUAGAGUACUUGGAUCUAACGGAGGACAUGACACAAAACCGAGCGCAAUGGCGUUCUAGGAUUCAUAUAGCCGACCCCACUUAGUGGGAAAAGGCUUUGUUGUUGUUGUUGUUGUUGAUGCAUAUGUGUUGGAUUCUUUAGUAUGUUAAUGCGUUAACUUAAUAGCUUUUGAUGGCUAAAAUUAUUUACUUGCAGCAUGGAUCAAUUAAUUCACAAGAUUCAUUAUUUGAUAUCACACAUCCCCUCUCUGGAAAGCUCAGUUGAUAAAACUGAUCAUGAGAUGUGGAGUGGAUCGGGUUAGUGUUCCCUGCCUUCUCACUCAGUAAUUAAGCAGUUGACCUCAUACUUUGCUUCCUUUUAAUACUUUUUCUUUUGGUGGAAGACUUUUUUAAUGAUGAUGGAUAAGUCAAUCACCUACCAAAACGGAAAAUAGAGUAUGCAUCAGUUAGUCAGUCCUUGCUAUGGGCUCCAACAUGAUUAUUGCCCAACAUUCUUAUUAACUUAAUGAAAUGUAAAGAUGCUAUUUUCAGUUCAUUUGACUGUAUAAGUAGUGGAAUGAGUGAGUAAUAUAUGGAUAAUUAUUUCCAUAAACAUUGGAAGGAAGUGUUAUCUUUCUUUUCUUUUUUCGUAUGUUUCUUGAUUAAAUGAUGGCAUGAGAGAAAAGUCUCUUCAAGUCUGGACAAUUUACUGCCAUUUCUGCUUCAAGAGGGUUCUUCUAAUAGACUAUUCUCAUAGUUUCACCACACAAGUACACAGUGAUGUAUGUGAGUGAAUGUGUGGUUUUCCUGUAUGAUUGCUUAGCUUUUUUUUUUUUUUUUUUUUUGAGUAUCUGCAUGCCUUGCGUCUGAAUUUCAGACUAGUUAACAUGGUGACAAGUGAUAACUAUAAGCACUAGUUUCUUCCCUGUUUCCUAUUGUAUUUACUUUUGUGAUCAUUUGAGCUUUUAAGUUUUCUUCGUUUAUUGAUGAGAUUUUUGUAUAAAGGUGAAUAUGAAGACCUUUCUGGGAAUCUGAAAGCAGAUGGUAAACAGCACAAGACUGAGAAGCAUAAGGAUAACGUAAUAUAGAUGUGUCAACGCAACUAUCAAAAUUAAUUGUGCAUUUCGUUCACUAAGUUCCCAUCUGUACUUUUCUUAUGAUAUUAAAGUUUUAGAUUCCUAAUGAUUCACAAUGUCUUCAGGUGUUGUCUGCAGCCAAUAUUGCCAAAAAGAUGAAAUUAAAAUUUACUAAAGCAUGGUUAUCAUUUCUAAGGUUACCACUUCCAGUUGAUGUGUACAAGGAGGUAAGACUCAUACGCGCUACUCCAUUAGUUCUCACCACUUGUAUCUGAAUCUCUUCACAGCUCAACUCUAAUUAGAAUUAUACUUGUUUUCUAUAUCUGGAAAGCUGUUCUAGUAUGUAGAGGCAGUAUCUGCUUUAUGAUACUGCACUUCUCAUGCGUUUUGGUUUUGUGACUUCUGCCUCUUUAGCCUCUAGCAAAAAGACUAAAUGCCGUUUUCCUCUAGUUUAUGUCUGUUAAAUCUGUUUACCUUGCAGUGAUAGUUUUCUACUUUUAUUCUCUACAAUUUUCUUACCAGGCUGUGUUUUGAUGCUCAGGUUCUUGCCACACUCCAUCAGGCAGUCAUUCCUUUUCUAGCUAACCCUGUCUUGUUAUGGUAAUUUACUUACGAAACAUGUUUUAUUUAUGUUUUCAGUUUGUCUUUUGUGACUUUGAUUGUAGUUCAUUUCUUGACAGCUUUCUGUGACUUUUCUAUAAAAUCAUAUGACAUCUCAUAUAUUGACUAUGUGCAGCGACUUCUUAACUAGAUCGUAUGACAUUGGUGGUGCUAUCAGCGUCAUGGCUCUUAGCAGUCUUUUCAUCCUCAUGACGCAACAUGGUUUAGAGUACCCCAACUUCUAUGAGAAACUUUAUGCAUUACUGGUUCACUCUAUUUUUCUGGCAAAACAUUGAUCAAAGUUUUUUCAGGUAAUACUAAUCAUUAAUGCAGUAACAGUUGGUCUAAAGUUAAACUUCUAUAAUACAAGCCAUAUAGGACUAAUUGGUUUUGAAUAUUCAGAUUGAACGAAUUGGUUAAUUAACUUAAUUUACAAUUGUUCUAUUUGAUUUGCAGCUUGUAGAUGCUUGCUUAAAAUCGCCACUUCUUCCUGCAUAUUUGGCUGCGGCUUUUGCCAAGACAUUGAGUAGGCUAUCAUUUUCAGUUCCUCUGUCUGGAGCGUUAGUUAUUAUUGCACUGGUUCAUAAUCUUCUACGGAGACAUCCUUCAAUUGCUUGGUGAAUCGGGUAUGAAGACAAUCUUUAAUUGUUUCUUUGUCAAUGAAUUUACCAUCCUCGAUCUGACGUAGUGAGUAUUUUUUUGUUAUUCUUGUUUCAUUCAUGUAUAUGAGGAGAUUGAUGUUUGUACAGGGAGGUGGCGGUGAAACUGGGAAAGAUGAUCCAGAAGCAGAACAGAGGGUUGCUGAUGGCACGGAUGGCACCGUAACUGGUUCGGCAGAUAAUUCAAUAAAAAAAUCAGGCAUUGAUCCUUUUGAUAAUGAACAAACUGAUCCUCUGAAAUCAAAUGCCAUGAGUAAGUAUUUAUUUCCCCCCAAAUGUGAUUACCUCAUACCAAAUCUUUUGCAUUUUGCAUUUAAUUGCUUUACUUAUAAAAUAACUUUUACUUGUUCAUCUCUUUUUGAACAGGAAGUUCACUGGGGGAGAUUGAUACCGUCCGUCACCACUACUGCCCUGCUGUUUCAAGGUUCAUGCUCGAGUCCUGCUCAUUUGUGAUUAUUGUAUGGUCAUUUAAACCUCUCGACUUUUCCUGAUAUCUUUUUGUUUGCUCUUAGGUUCGUUUUGUCACUCGAGAAUGAUUUGACAGUUAGAGCCAAAACUACUGAGAUAUCCGUUGGAGAUUUUAGCUCAGGUUCAUAUGCGACAAUAUUUGGAGAGCAGGUAUUGUUAUCUUGUCUCGGAAUUCCUCGAGUAUAUAUUAGAAUUUAUGCAUUCCAGGAAUUUAUCGUUAAAAGUAAAAAAAAUAUAGUGGAAACUGGUACUUGCAUCCCAAGAAGUUAAGUUGUAGAAAGCUACUGUUAGUAUGCCUUGUGCAAUUAAUUUGAUGGUUUCAUUCAGAGGCAUUUUAGUUCACUGCAUUGACUCUAUAUUGCAGGUGAGACGAAGAAUAAAGUCGGCUCCACUAGCAUACUACAAAGCAGCUCCGACCUCUCUGUUCUCGGACUCGGAGUCUCAGUUUCUCGGUUGGACGUUCAAGUCUGAAGACAGUAAGCGAAAGAACGAAAGCGCUGAUGAGAAUGGGAAAAUAGAUAAAGAAUGCGAAGAUAGUCUGGUAAAACGACAGCGGAUCAAGUGCUGUUAACCAAAAUGUACUCUCUCAAGGCGGCAGGAAAAUGCUCGUGAAUUAUAAGAUUGAUUUCGAGCUACAACGCUAGAGUUAUAGGUCUAGAUUUCUUCACUUGUAAGGUGCAACAAAUUUUGACCUAUUUAUUUGAUUGACAAGUUAUCCUUGUACAUGUAUUUUUCUUGAUGUAUCCGUUGUACCUUAAAAUUCCACCAAAUUUAAUCAUUUUUCAUGGCACAGUCUAUCCCUUUCUAUAUUUGUUAAAACAAGUUUAGUAAAUCUAAUUAGUAAUUUUAAAACAUUUUUUACAAUUCCCUAAUUAUAUCUCCAAUCAGAAAAUGCAACAUCAGCUUUUGGAAAAUUUUAUCUUAAUCUUGAGCUUCUUUGCUGCUCUUAACCUUGCUUCUUGCUUCUCCUCAUGUUCGAGCAGCAACCGCUCUCUUUCGUCUUCCUCCCUAGCAAUUUUUGCACUCUUCCUCUCUUCCUUCAGUAUGUCAUCGAAACUGGACACCAUCGCAAGAUCAUCACCAUCAUCGUCUGCCCUAGGGCGCUUGUGAUUGUGUCUGAAUAUCUCCUGGAUCACAGAAGAAACAUCAACUGAUUGCUCCCCCUUCACACGGUCUUUGACCUGAAUCUUUGAUGGAUUUUUUCGGUUUUGGCAUCGGUUUUGCUGUACUUUUCGGCUCAACAGAUUGCUUUGUUUGCUUCAAGCCCUGCUUUGUCGAAGAAGAUUCUGACUUUGCCGAGGAGGCUUUGCCAAUGACUUCCUCCGGACGCUUCUCCUUCAGGCGAUAUUUGAUGGGAUGUUUCGAGACAGAUUUUUUCUGUUUCGGCAUUGGUUUCUGUUUGGGCCCAAAAUAACAGUUUGGGCCGAGGGAGGUAUCACUUUCGGCCCGGGAAGACGUACGGCGAGAGAGUCAUGGGGGCGUUCAGCUCAUGGGCUUCUAGGCCUAGAUCGGUUAAAUCAGAGUGCAAGUCGAGUCCUAAUACAAUAGGGACCCUCGACGAGAUCAGUAAAACUAGAAGGCGAAUCCGGCUCAGUUAAGGACUAGAUUCGUAGUCCUAGCAGAGAUAGGACUGAUUGAGGUAACGUUAAUCCGGAGAAGGAAACCUAGUUCGAAUAGGAUUAGAACUCGGGCUCGGUGUUCUGCUACUAUAAAUACAAGACAUUCAGCAAUGGAAAAAGCCCACAAAAAUCAAUACAAAAUUGCCCUGCGCAAACUCUCACAACUUGAGAUCUUUUUCUUUUCCUUUUUCGCUGACACAUCUUCCGUUGGCAUCAACAGCACUGUGGAAGCAACCGGUGAUAUCUUUUAAGUCGGCAUAGAUAGCUCUGUCACCGUAGAGUCGGUCGGUCUCGCAGUAUCUUCCGUUGGCAUCAACAGCACUGCGGCGAGAACGGUCGAUUGCCUAUUCAAGUCUCGGUCGAGAAGGGUUUUCGAAUCCUUGUUGGUCGAGGUCAUCUCAUUAGCCUUCUCGGCGAGGUGAGGUGUUACAGUUAUUUACAUUCGGCACAUUGUAAGCCGAAUUCGGUUCGUGAACUUUGUAAGAAAUAGCAGCCUUGUCUUCAGGCUCUCGAGAACCAAGAGGCCGAGACGCGUUCCUUUCUCGGCCGCAAUCGCAAGACGCAGAAGUCAGUAGCGCGACCCAACGCAGCAUCAUCAAAUUUACUCCUCGGCCGAGCCUCGGCCGACGAGUUGGCACGCCCCGCAAUCAUCAUCGAAAGGACGUAGUUUAGCUUAGAAUAUAUUCGGCCUGCGCGCCACGUAGGCUUUGUAAUUUCUAGGGUCAACAAAUUGGCACGCCCAGUGGACCUAGUGUGCUAAACUACGAAGUUCAUGCCAAUUGAAACACGAUCGGUAAAAAAGAAAACAGCUAUGGGAAAGUCGACAGCCGAUUUACCGAGUCAGAGCAUAGGACAGAGUGUGCCACAGGCGCAUAAUCCCCUUAGCGUUGGUACACCUGAGUCCACGAGCGCGACUCGCCGAGAGAGAGAACUUAAUCUCGGCGGUCAACUCCGUGGUUUAGAAAUCCCCAACAGAAACACAUGCGUUCUCAAAUGAAGGGAUAAUAGAAGAAUGUGACGAGGAUUGGUGGUGAAGGAUCAGACCCACCAACGAGGUCGUUUCUCCGAAAGCGACUGGACGAGCAGUCUCGGUCAGUCGAGCAGACGUUCUGUCGAGGCAUUGACAAGCUGCAGAACGCGAUACUCAGUGCCAAUGAUCGGCAAACCAAACUGCUCGAAAUGCUGGUUAGCCAAGUUGUGUGGUGCAGCAGGCCUUUCGAUCUUCGCCAACCUUGUUUACCAGAAAACAACACGGUACCGAUUCGAUUGUACCGGCCGAACCUAUUCCUGCCCCGCUCAAAACAAUUAACUUGGAGAAGGGAGGAGGGUCGAACAGUAGGUCAGACGGGACCGACCAAAGGGUCGAAGCAGCAUCUGAUUUGAUAUGACCGAAGUUCAGCGGAUGAUCGACUCGGCUAUGAAGAAAGGGCCGAAGUUUCCCAAGUUUAUUCAUCCGUACCCAGCUUACGUGGAGACGUUUUGGAUACCCGAAGGGCUUCAAGAUCCCAGAUUUUAGUCUUUUUGCUGGUGAAUCGUCCCUGUCUUCGUUGGAGCACGUGGCUCGUUUUCACCGCGCAAUGUGGAGAUGUGAAUAGUGAUUUCCACAAGUUACGGCUGUUCAAUUUUUCAUUGACCGGCUCGGCAUUUGCCUGGUACAUCAAUCUCCCGGCCUAAUUCCGUCCAAAACUGGGAGGAGUUGGUCGAGAAGUUCCACGAGCAAUUUUAUCGGCCGGGGAUGGAGAUGUCAGUUUCUUUCAUUAGCACGGAUGGCUCAAGCAUCUGAUGAGUCACCAAUGGAUUAUCUUACUAGGUUUAAAUCGGCUAGGAAUUGGUGCCGAGUGCCCUUACCCGAAGUCGAAUUUGUCAGGCUUGCUUUGAAUGGUCUUGACGUCGAAUACAAAAAGAAAUUCUUGGGGGCAAAAUUUUCGGGAUAUGUACGAAUUGGCCCAGCAUGUCGAGCAGUACGAUUAUUUGCUACGCGAGGAAAAGACUUCGAAGACUCCAACUCGGGGAACGAAUUUACAAGAACCCUUACUGUCAAUUAUGCAUCAACCGAGGAUGAAUGUGUUAGUGUGGAUGCGGCUGAGAUAGUAAUAGAUAAAACCAUACAUUUGCAAGGCAUUGACUCAGGUUGAUUCUAGAGAAGCCAAAAGUCGCUCGGCCACUGAAGGAACAUCGAAACCGUCAAAGGUUUAUACUUUUGAUAUUACCAAGGCUGAACGCAAUUUUUGACCAACUGUUAUCAGCAAGAAAUCAUUAAGCUUCGGCCUGGUCAUAACAUUCCUAAGGCCGAGGAGCUUAAAGGAAAGGUGUAUUGCAAAUACCACAAUUCGAGCAAACACACGACAAACAAUUGCGUCGUAUUUCGUGAUAACGUCCAAAGCUGGAUUGAUAAUGGCAAGCUGAAGUUCCCGGAAGAGGAAUGAGUGUUGAUACUGAUCCGUUCCCCACGGCAACAGUCAAUAUGGUCGACGCGUACCUACCCAAGGACAAAAGGGAAAGGCAAGGCUGAAGUGGUUGAGACACAACGCCCGCGGAACCAGAAUGUUCGGCCACGGUUCAUGGCGGAUUCGCGUUCAAAUAAAACCAUCUGCGGCCUUAAACGGGGCCCGCUAUUGUCAAAUCUUUGACGGAGUGUAGCGCCAAUGAAGAUAGUGGGACAGCGGUUCUGUUGCAGGAAAUGUAAAGCGAAGGUCGACAGUGAACCAGAAGAGAACCUUUCUUCGCAACCCGUGGCCGCAACUCGGCAAAAGAUAGCCAAUGAAGACCAACAUCAUGGGGUUUUUGGGAGGCUCGGUCCUAAAGUACGGAUGGAAGAGACACCCCCGGUCAGGCGGCGCCUUGAUUUUGAUGCUUCAUUUUAUGACGAUGAUUACUAUAAGCGUAAUUCUAGCAGUUCAGGAUCAUCACGGAGUCAAAAGACCUUCAAGCCUCCUGAGCCUAGAGAUCAACGUUGGUACACAUACCAUUCUUCGAAGGGCGUCUAUACCGCGUUGUCCAAAUCUCAGAAACGCCGGCAUCAACGGAUAGAUUGCAUGGCUCGCCGACAAGCGGCCCAACAAACUUCGGCCCCUAAGUGGCGACCGAAGGAUACAGUUGCCACUAGUGAAAAGCGACCACCUCCACCAAUUAUGACAGAGUUGGCUCAGGGGAAACGGCUGGUCGAUCAAGACGUCGAGACCAUGUUUGAAGAAGCUGAUAAGCGGAUCAAACUUCUCAUUCGACCAGGGGAAAUAAAGGCACGUGUUGAACAUUUCAGGCAAAAGGCCGAAAGCAAAUUAUCCCCGCUAGCUAUACAAGAGCCUUUGGUCAAAAUUCGACGGAAUUUGCACCCCCCGUUCCUUGGGGAGUCUUUGGAAUAUAUGCGAGAAUUUUCAUAAGGAACAUUCGGCCAACGAUUUGUAUGGUUUGCCGAAGGCAUGUCAGGACACCAUUGAUCUUGUCUUGACUUGUCCGGAUGCUGAGCGGAUCAUCCAGAAGACCUCAGAUCCAGGAUUGAAAGCAAGGUUCCAGCACAUACGAGAAGCUCGUGUCUUUGGAUUUGAAGUUGACCCGUAUACCGAUAUCGAUGUCGCUGACCUUCCUUUCUCGCUAGAGGACCUUCAGUAUUUACGGUAUCACUUUGAAGUAUUUUCGGCGGUUUCUCUCUUCGGCCUUACGACCGAUGAAAUCGCCCGUAUUGCCCGUCUGGAUGCUUAUCUCGACACUAGGGAUGCUCGACUACACUACCAGGAGCAGGUUCAGGACUUGACCCCAAGCUCAUUGUCAAUCUCGACCUUACCUGAGGCGGUCACGCAGAGCCAACAAGUGGCCGAAGCAGCUCCGCUGAGUGACAUUAUUAAAGGGACGGAAGAAUCUCGUUGUCCGACUCUGACGACAACUGAGUCCGUAGUCGCUAACCAACCGAACGAGGAGGAUCUCGACCAGAUGGGCCCGUCCGUCCUGGAUAAUAUGGAAAUUAGUAUGGUUCAUGUAUUACCUGCCGAUUUUCAAUCAAGCACGGCUCAACCAAAUUUCCUCGAUGGAGAUGUGGUUGUCGAGGAACCUGGCCAUGUUGAUUUUAUAUCGAUUGCUGAAGGCGAGUCAGUCAACAGCAAGAGAUGAUAGCCUAAAAGGCCGCUUUGGCCGAAUUGUUCCCUCGUUUAUCAUCGGCCAAGCUUCACCAUUUAAAGCCAUUGUAUGUAACGGCACACAUCGAGGAUAUCCGGUUUCUAAAGUUUUUGUCGAUUGUGGAGCUACUGUCAAUAUCAUGCCCCUGAACAUCAUGAAGGCCUUACGCCGUUCAAAUGACGCGAACUUAUUCCGUCAGGGAUCACAAUGAGCAGUUUUUGUCGGGGACAAGUCCCACACCAAAGGUGUGCUUCCGUUAACUGUGAAUAUUGCCGGUCGCACCCAUAUGACCGCCUUUUUUGUGGUUGAUUCCAAAACCGAGUAUAAUGCACUGCUCGCCGAGAUUGGAUUCAUCAAACCAGCUGUAUUCCUUCCUCAUUGUACCAAGUGCUUGUCUUUUGGGACGGUAAAUAAAUCGGUCACUGUUCAUCCGGCCGAUAGCCAGCCCUUCGAAGCCAACAUGAUUCAAGCACGGUAUUAUGACGAUCACGUCGGCUAUAUUACGUUGCAAGGCUUCAAUGAAGAGGGACGGCCGACUCGGAUUUCCGUUCAGAAAGCUAUCGAGGUUGGCGCCGAGACUGUCCAGCAGGAUUCGGCGAGACUCGGAUUAGCUAACUUUCUCCCCGAAACCGAUGUUUGACGCCGAUCGGGAAGCACGUAGGGCCGCGGUUUCAUCUACUAUGGAACGACUGCUGGCCCAUUGGUAUAUACGAUAUCUAAACAACCAAAUUCGGCCGUCAACCUCGUCGAGUUCCUUGCUGAGGGAGAUAAUGGGCCUGUAUUAUCUUUUGAUAAAAUUCGAGCCGCCCCGGCCGAGCUCGAAGAUCAUCGGCCCCUUGUUAAGGACCCUUUGGAAGAGAUUAAUGUUGGGACGGCCGAUGACCCACGACUUUUGUUUAUUAGUGCGUUACUUCCUCAACAAAUGAAAGGACGAGUUGCGGGCCUUGCUUACGGAAUUCAAAGAUUGUUUUGCUUGGAGUUAUCAUGAAAUGCCCGGCUUAGAUCGUGCUUUGGUCGAACAUGAAUUACGUAUUAAGCCCGGAUUCAAGCCUUUCCGUCAGCCACCUCGUCGAUUCUCGACCGAAGUACAAACUCAGUGUUAAGGACGAAUUAGUUCGGCUUUUGAAAGCCGGGUUUCAUUCGGACAGCUCGAUCGAUAUGUCGAAUGGUUGGCGAAUAUUGUUCCUGUAUUAAAGAAAAGUGGUGCACUGCGCAUCUGCACCGAUUUUCGCAAUCUGAAUCUGGCAACGCCCAAAGAUGAGUAUAUACAAUGCCGAUUUCAGAUCUGUUAAUCGAUGCCGCGGCGAAUCAUGCGAUCUUAUCUUUUCUGGAUGGACAUGCCGGAUACAACCAAAUAUUUAUUGCCAAAGCCGAUGUGCACAAAACUGCUUUCCGGUGCCCGGGGGCACUCGGCACUUACGAAUGGGUUGUCAUGCCAUUCGGCCUCAAGAAUGCCGGCGCUACGUUUACCAACGGGCGAUGAACACCAUCUUCCAUGAUUUAAUUGGCACCAUCGUCGAAGUUUAUAUCGAUGAUGUUGUCGUCAAAUCUAAACGCCGACAGACACAUCUGGACGAUCUCCGACAGGCUUUCCUCCGUAUGCGUCAGCACAACCUCAAGAUGAAUCCUGCCAAGUGUGCCUUCGGUGUAUCGGCCGGGAAUUUUCUUGGUUUCCUCGUACAUCAUCGUGGGAUUGAAGUCGAUGAGAACAAGGCACGCGCAAUCAUCACCGCCCCACCCCCAACAACGAAGAAACAAUUACAGUCCUUACUCGGCCAGAUCAAUUUUUUACGCCGAUUUAUUGCUAAUUCGGCAGGUAAACUGAAAGCCUUUUCCACACUUUUUGAAACUCAAGGACUCCGAUAAGUUCAUGUGUGGAAUGAGGAGCACCAGGCGGCGUUCACACAGAUCAAGGUUUCCCUUACAAACCCACCUGUCCUGGUCCCUCCUCAGCGCGGUAAGCCUCUCAAGCUGUACAUUUCGGCGGCCGACGAGUCCAUCGGUUGCCUCCUCGCGCAAGACAAUGAUGCCGGCCGGGAACAGGCUAUCUUCUACCUCAGCCGUAAUCUGAGUCCUCCGGAGAUCAAUUAUUCCACCGUUGAGAAGCUCUGUCUCGCCGUGUUCUUCGCUGCAUCCAAGCUUCGGCAUUACAUGCUCCCGUCGGUCACCCAAGUCAUUGCCCAGACCGACGUUAUCCGGUACAUGCUUACCCCGGCCGAUUGUGAAGGGCCGAAUUGGGAAAUGGACGAUGGCGUUGUCCGAGUUUAGUUUGCAGUACGUGCCACAAAAAGCUGUGAAAGGGCAGGCGUUGGCCGAUUUCCUUGCCCAUCACCCUUCGCCUUACGAUUUCGGGGGUGCUGAUGUCGAGAUUGGCAUGGUGGUGACCCGCGACAACUAUUGGACGAUGUAUUUCGAUGGUUCCAGUACUUCGUCCUCGGCCGGUGCAGGCAUCGUCAUUCAGUCUCCUCACAACGAUCGUUGGUAUUUUUCGCUCAAAUUGGAUUUCGACUGUACCAAUAAUCAGGCCGAGUACGAGGCUCUGGUCAUUGGUCUAGGCCUCCUUCUUGACCUACAUGCCACUCGUGUCCUCGUCCUCGGGGAUUCUGAACUAGUGAUUAACCAAAUUAAUGGGUCUUUUCGCUGCAUGAGUUGUACUCUGGCGCCUUACCACAUGAUCGCCAGCUAUUUGGCCGAGUCCUUUGACGGUAUUACAUUCGAGCAUAUUUCUCGGGUUCAUAAUACCGACGCAGACGAGUUGGCUCAAAUCGCCUCCGGUGCACAACUCCUGGGGGGGGCAAGCUAGGCCGGGAGAUACCAAUAUUACAACAAUUAUACCCGGCCUUGGUUGAUCAGCAAAUCCUCCGUCGAGACAAUGUGAUACGUACCAGGGUCAUGUCCUUGCCUUCAUUGUUGGAUCGGCAGGACCAGGACUCUAUAGAAAUUUGCGCGGCCGAGGCAGUACCAGAUAAUUGGAGAAAGCCCAUUAUGCAGUACCUUGAUAAUCCUAACGGAAAACACAGUCGCAGGACACGGGCUCACGCCACGAACUAUGUCACGUACCAGAGCGAGUUGUACCGAAAGGGCGAAGAUGGUUUGUUAUUGCUAUGCCUCGGCCUUCAAGAGAGUGCUCGAGCGAUCGCAGAGGUUCAUGAAGGGGUAUGCGGAACUCACCAGUCUGGACGAAAAAUGCGAUGGCUAUCUCCGACGACACGGUUAUUUUUUGGCCGAGAAUACUGAAAGAUUGUAUCGAGUUUGCACGAGGAUGCGUUGCAGUGCCAAAUCCAUGGGCCUAUACAAAGGGUCCCGGCCGAAUCGCUACAUUCGGUCAUUAAGCCGUGGCCGUUUAGAGGAUGGGUCAUGGAUGUAAUCGGCAAAAUCACGCCGACUUCUGGAGCUGCUAAGCAUGCAUGGAUAAUAGUCGCAACUGAUUACUUUACUAAGUGGGUCGAAGCAAAAUCAUAUGCCGAAUUAACGUCUAAAGAAGUUUGCGAUUUCGUGGAGGAACACAUUGUGACCCGGUUCGGUGUGCCAGAAACGAUCAUAACCGACAAUGGAACAAUCUUCACAGCCGAAAGGUUUAAGGAAUACACGGCCAAUUUGAAAAUUCGGCUGGAACAGUCCACACCGUAUUAUCCACAGGCGAAUGGGCAGGCCGAGGCAAGUAAUAAAGUGUUGAUUGGCAUCCUCGAAAAAAUAAUAAAAGAGAGGCCUGGCAUGUGGCAUUUGAAGUUGAACGAGGCAUUAUGGGCAUACCGAACGUCGUCCCGAUCGGCGACUGCAACAACCUCGUACGCAUUGACUUACGGACACGAUGCGGUGCUACCAGUCGAGUUGAGCAUAAAUUCGUUGCGAUUAAUUGAACAAAGUAGUUUGUUUAGCGCCGAAUAUAAUCAGUCCAUGAGACAGGAACUAGAAGAUUUGGAAGAGGCGCGACUUGACGCUUAUAACUUACUGGUGGCACAGAAACAGAUUGCCGAGCGAGCUUAUAACCAAAAGGUACGACAGAAAACGUUCGGCGAGGGUGAAUUGGUGUGGCAAACGGUGUUGCCCGUAGGAAUAAAAGAUCCUAGGUUCGGCAAGUGGUCGCCGAAUUGGGAAGGGCCGUUCAUUGUGCAUAAGGUAUACGGUAAAGGGGCGUAUAUCAUCUUAAAGACCGGACUGGAGUAGUUCACAAAAAUUACCAAUUAAUGGGAAGUUCUUGAAGAAAGAAAUACUAUCCGGUCACAUGGGAAAUGCGUGAAUAAAAAGUUUGUUGUAGGAAAAGUCAUUCCAUUAAAAUUGGCAGGUAUUACAAAAAUGAGUAGGUCUAAUACAUUCAAGGAGACGAGGGAAGAAGAGUGCUGAGCAGAGCUUUCAAUUCCAACCACCGCACGUCGGCCAUGAUGACUUCGGCUUGCCGAUUCUUUUUGUCUAGCCUCAGGCGCUCGACCCGUUUUUUGGCCGCCGCAUACUCAGUUAGGCGAUCCUUCCCACCUGACUCGAAGUCCCUCGCAAGUUCAGAAGCAAUGACCGACCGGCGUUUUGCUAGUUCGGCCAUCUGACGUCGUCGAGCUCGGCUAACGCUUCUCCUUUUGCCCGUAGAUCGUCAAUCUUCGGACGGAGGGUGUCUUGAACGGCCGUGGCGGCUUGCAGGUCCUGUUCGGCCUUCAGAGCAGUCUGGAAGAUGCCAAAUGUCUCCCGAACGCGCUCCAAAGCAGAUGAUGCCCGAACAAUGGCAUCUCCGCUUAGGCGACCGUCGGCCCCAAGGUCGUUCAGACACACGCCGAGCAGAUCAAGACCGUUGCGCUCAAGUACUUGCGAUGAAGAGAGCGACAGGACUUCUCGCAACUGGGUUAGGGCGCUUGGAUCGGCAGCCUCAGUUGGAGCGGCCGAAGGCCGGACUCUGCAGUCGUGCUGGAGAGGAGAGCUUUGAAUUCAACCUCCCAUGAAGCCUGCACGAAUAAACAAGGUUAAGCUUAAAGGAAGUCAUGACAAGAAUGGCAAGAAGUGUGUCGUUUUUUAACCUGCCGAGAGGAGACCUCGGCCAUGUCCCCAGGGUCGUUGCUCGAACCUAAAGAACUCAAUGGCCGAGCCCAGUGUCUCAGAUUGCUUCUCACUUCACGAGGCCGAUGGAGGUUAUCUACGUUUGAUGGCCACUGAUGCGGCCAGGAAAUAUAGAUAACGCCCUUCGGCGCAUAGAAUUGACGGUGAAAAGAAUGUACAGGCACCUGACAUUUAGUUUUUCCUUGUUUAGAAUUCUAAAGCAGAAAAGCAAUCAGGAGGAAAAUUGAAGGUACUUACAAAAGCCGAGGUAACCUCUUGUGGAGGGAUGUGGAAGCCUUGGUCUUGAGGAUGGAUCGGCGAUUCCGCCGUGGCCUCGGGUUCCUCGAGCAGGCGUUUGCCACGGUCGGCUGCCGAUGGGCCGACUGGCGCAGCUGCUUCAGUGGAGGCAGGGACGUCCUGGUCUUGAGAAGGAACGAGAGGUUCGGCCGCCGGGGUCGGUUCCUCGACCGUGCGCUUGCCACGAUUAGCCGAGGAGGGGCCGGGUUGAACCGCCAUCUCGGAUACUGGAGGAGUUUGUUGACGAGUAGGAGGACGACGCGCCAGCGGGACCUCGUCGCUCCCCUCACUCUCUUCCAGCACGAAGACCGUGGGCUUUGGAUUCUUGGGAGAGGUUUCCUCGGUCGUAGGAACCGCCUGGUGUGAGACAGGUGCCUUCUCGACAGAGGGAGGUACGACUGAUUCGCCGGCCACAGAAGCAGGCCGCGCUGGGACCGUCUCUAUGGCCGAAGCCGGCUGUUUCUUGACCUCAGAAUGGCCGGCGGCGGGAGAAGGGGAAGCACUGGGAGUCGUCGUGUGGCUGGAAAUAACGUGGAUCUCCCGUGCACCUUUCUUCGCCAGUUGUUUGACCCGCUUGGCAGGCGGGGAAGGCUCGAUAGCCGGCCUGGCCUCUUGGCGAGGCCGUUUGAUCAGCCCGGCCCUACCAGUAGGUUUGUCCUUUUUGGCCACGACCGAUUUUUUCCCGGCCAUAGCAGCGGCAACUGCCUCUGUCUUUCUCAAAGGCCGACUACCUAAAAGGAUAAAGACAAUUCAGUAGGGCGUACAAUAUGCAAGGUUGAAGAAAAAGGGGGAAUUGAACAACUACCUUGAGAGUGGGGGGCCGGGGCUUUCUUAGGUCGGUUACCGAAGAGCCUGCUUAGUACAUCUUCGACCGGCGCACCGAAGAACUCCUGAGUGUAAUUUUCCCACCACUCACCGAAGGUGUCAGUGCAAUGGGUUUCUGGGGUGGCCGGUCGUAGGCGAAAUCUUUGGCAGUACUCUUGAAACUCCUUCGCGGCAGUCCUGCACUCGUUCUCUGAAGAGCGAGGCUCGCGUCCGCGGCUCAAUACUGUGCGGGAAGAGAGAAGGGGGACGGGACAGCCCUGAAGAUAGCCGAGCUGACGGGCAAGAAAGUUCGGAUGGUACACUUCCCACCCCGACCGUUUCCCGUCGCAGCCGAGAGGAAGGUCGCGAGCAAGCACGAACGACCCCCAGGUUUGGCGAAGAGCGGCAUCCUCCUCUGCGGCCCACGUAGAGGUAGGCAGUCUGAUGGAGGGGGGGUAAUCGCGACGACGACAAAUCAGGAAUUCGUCGCUUGAGAGAUCGUCAAGGGCAAAGAGGUACCUAAAUACUUCUUCGGCCUGAUGAGGAGGCGUUGGUCGGGAAGCUAGCUGAGGACCAAGAGCCUCUGUUGCUGAGAAAUCAGCUAUAGCCGGCCGAAGGGAGGCGAAGUACACCUGCAACCAGAGCUGGAAGACCCAGAGAGGGCCAUUCUGGUAGGGGUCCACCGUGUGGAGAGUCGCCUCGGCCAGGCAACGGAAGAGGUGGGCAAGAAUAUUAGAACUCAGCGCCAGGACGUGACCACUGGCCAGGGCUUCGGCCACUGGCAUAUUCUCGACCAAACAUUUGUUUGAUUUGGUACAACAAAUAUACAUUUGUUGUACCAGUAGAAGAGGAAGGCUUCAUGCUCUCCCUCUCGCAGGUCCUCUUCCCCUCGACCGGCGAAGUGAAGGUAGAGGGUGUUGUAGUUGAGAAAGUUCUUGUGGAGCUUCUGUAUUUCAUCCCUCGACGGGAUGUGACCGUCACUGUUCAGGGUCUCGAAGGCUCGACGGUCGAAGAGCGUCUUCAGAUCGAUAUUCGACGGGUGCCCGGAGAGGGUCGCGUCGAUAGGGAUCCCGGUGGCCGAGGUCCCCAAAAUGGCGGUGAUGUCCAGGAUGGUGGGACCAAUGGGACCAAGGGGAAGGACCAUUGUGUUGGUGGCUGAGCACCAGAAGCAUAGAGCGGCUAGGAGCAGCUCCUUGUCAGGGACAAUGUCCAUCGACGAAAGGAAGAUGGCGUCGUAGAUACCCAGGAUUUUCCAUUUUUCGCCGAAGAGCCGUUCCAUUCGGACAACCCAGGUCGCCCAGGUGGUGGUCGUCGAGGGCCAGGAGCCUUGGGGCUUUGCCGCCUCCCAUCUCGACCAUUCAAACCCUUGGAGCAAGGGUGCAAGGCAGUGUUCCUGGAGAAGACCAGUGAUGGUCGGCGGGAUUGUUGCCUUGAAGAGAGGACCCAGGAUUUGGUGGACGGUGCUCAUGUCGUUCUCGAACCGUAUAUUCUUGAUCGAGCUCCGAUCAAGGAUCUUCUGAUGCUGGUCGCAUUCCCGGGAAAGCUUGGAGAUGAAGGAGGCCAUUGUAAAAGCACAGCGUAAGGAGGUUUUCUGGGUUGGGGAUUUGAGGACGAAAACUUGGAAUGGAGGAAUGCACUUGAGAGCAAGGGUAGGGGAUUUCAGGAAGUUUGAGAACGUAAAGUACAAAUGAGGAAAUUUCGGUAUUUAUAGAGUAAUGGGAGGAAGAGCAAUCGUUCGAAAUUCAAAACAAAGGGCAAAAUCGACCGGAGGAAUCGUUGAUCAUGAUGAGCAUUUGGGGAAUGCGGUUGAGAAGACCAACGGUUUUAGGUUUUGGGGGCGCGCACGAUCGCGUGUGACGGCGAAGUUAAUGACGAAAGACGGUUCGACGCCUGCACGAUGACAGGAGGGCUCACGGACUGAUGAAAUGGCUCGCGGAUUGAGAUAGUGGUCAUAAUGGCGAGACGGUUCGGGCAGGCGCACGCUUCAGACGUCAUUAUCGGGGAUUGGCCAUGUUUGGGGAUGCCACGUGGCGAGUGGUUUAGCAGGAUCAAGAUCGUGCGAUCAUGUUCAAUAAAUGCGCCUUGGAACUCGGGUAUUGGGAUCCUGAGUGGUAGAUUCGCUUCUUCAAGGUCGAAACUCGGCCGAAGGUUUCAGGCCGAGGACCUCAAAAGCGAGGGGGCAAUGUUUGGGCCCAAAAUAACAGUUUGGGCCGAGGGAGGUAUCACUUUCGGCCCGGGAAGACGUACGGCGAGAGAGUCAUGGGGGCGUUCAACUCAUGGGCUUCUAGGCCUAGAUCGGUUAAAUCAGAGUGCAAGUCGAGUCCUAAUACAAUAGGGACCCUCGACGAGAUCAGUAAAACUAGAAGGCGAAUCCGGCUCAGUUAAGGACUAGAUUCGUAGUCCUAGCAGAGAUAGGACUGAUUGAGGUAACGUUAAUCCGGAGAAGGAAACCUAGUUCGAAUAGGAUUAGAACUCGGGCUCGGUGUUCUGCUACUAUAAAUACAAGACAUUCAGCAAUGGAAAAAGCCCACAAAAAUCAAUACAAAAUUGCCCUGCGCAAACUCUCACAACUUGAGAUCUUUUUCUUUUCCUUUUUCGCUGACACAUCUUCCGUUGGCAUCAACAACACUGUGGAAGCAACCGGUGAUAUCUUAAGUCGGCAUAGAUAGCUCUGUCACCGUAGAGUCGGUCGGUCUCGCAGUAUCUUCCGUUGGCAUCAACAGCACUGCGGCGAGAGAACGGUCGAUUGCCUAUUCAAGUCUCGGUCGAGAAGGGUUUUCGAAUCCUUGUUGGUCGAGGUCAUCUCAUUAGCCUUCUCGGCGAGGUGAGGUGUUACAGUUAUUACAUUCGGCACAUUGUAAGCCGAAUUCGGUUCGUGAACUUUGUAAGAAAUAGCAGCCUUGUCUUCAGGCUCGAGAACCCAAGAGGCCGAGACGCGUUCCUUUCUCGGCCGCAAUCGCAAGACGCAGAAGUCAGUAGCGCGACCCAACGCAGCAUCAUCAAAUUUACUCCUCGGCCGAGCCUCGGCCGACGAGUUGGCACGCCCCGCAAUCACCGAAGGACGUAGUUAGCUUAGAAUAUAUUCGGCCUGCGCGCCACGUAGGCUUUGUAAUUUCUAGGGUCAACAGUUUCAUGCUACAUUGAUUUGUUGAAGAAGGUUCUGACUUUGCCGAGGAGUGUUUGGUUUUGCCAACUUCUUCAGGCUCUCCUCCUUUCAAAGGCUUAGGAAUUUCUGCACCGUCCGAUUGCAAAAAGGAGUAAUCCCGGGACUCCUUUAGGUUUUUACACUUUAAUGUUGUGCUAAUAACAAGGCUAUUUGCAGCGGUUUUAGCCUUGUCACCGGAAUUUAGAACCCUAGACGCCAACUGCUUCAACUCCGGCACAAAAUCCUUCAUCUCUUCGUGCACUCUCUUGGCCAUGACACGCUCCGAGGGGCCAAAGAAGGAUCCAAAGUUGUCGAAAGUCAAUUUCUUCUUGUUAUCAUCAGUAGUACUAUUAACCGAGCAGCCAUGAGCAACAGCAGAGCCUUCUGAUUUCUUCAUGCGAAUGCGUUCUUUCAGUUGCUGCCUGAGUUGAAGGAAGUCGAAUUGCUCCGCCUCUGCAGGACGCAUAACUAGAGAAGCCAUCUUUCCGAUCCCAAAGUUGUAGAAUUCUAACUUGGAAACCCUAACUUGCUUUCUAAGCAACUCCUACUUGAAAAAGUGAUCGAAUGCGGAAAGAGAUGGGAAUUGUAGCUUGUAACGUAAUGAAUGGAAGGGAAAAGUCUGUAUUUAUAAUUGAGGAUUAGGAUUGGAUGUGCUUUCAUUUUACGGCGGUCUAGGAAUUUCCUAAUCCCAAUAGGAAAAUGGGAGUGGAUUUUCCUAAAAGGAAUAGGAGAACGUAAAAUAAUCAUUGAAUCAAAUGGAUAUAAACAAACUACACCCAGGUCUUUUUAUGACGUUUUUCUAUUUAAACACCACAACCGCAAGUGAUUUGUAGCUCACUAGAUUAAAAACAUUUGUCUUUGAACCCGAGUUUUUCUAUUUGAAUCACCUUUUUUAUGGUUUGAAUGAGUUUAAUGUAGAUUAUUCUAUCGUCUGUUAAAAGAAAAAAUUAAACACCACCACCUUUCUUUUUUGAGUUCACUCCAAUUUCAAUCUACACCUCAUUAAAAUUUUGAAUUUUAAAUUUUUCCAAAAACAACACACUUUUCACUAAAUUACCCUGAAAUACGAACACACCACUCCCACCAACAAAAAAAAAAGAAAAAUGACAAGACUGCUCCACACCCACAACACCAGCGUGUUCAUGGUGGCACUAGGUCUUGAUCACAACCAAAGAAUAUGAGAUUUUUAAGGAUGAAUCUCAUUUUGAGGUCCUUAUGUAGUAGCCUCCUUUGCUUGCUUGGAGUUUCGGACGUUGGUGUUUGGGAUUUUCAAAGAUCACAAAUCCUAUUAAACUAGAAUGUUCCUUCCAAAUUGAUUUGUCAAUCAAUCCACUCAAAGACAUUAAGGGGCCGUUUGAUAAUCAUCAUUCAAGAGAGUAGAAUCUUAAGACUACACACUCAAGAGUUGAGACAGGAUCGUCUCUAAGAUUUUGGGGCCUUGUGCCAACUUUUCAUGUUCCUUUUAGUCUUUUAUCGUUAUAGUCUUUAUUUAUCUUCUCUUUUUGGCUUUGGCCCUUGAUUUGGUGCCCUCGUCUGAGUUUUUGUCUCAAUUUUAUGAGUUUGUCUCAAUCUGGGCUUUCAUGUCUCUUUCUUACUCAGUUGUCAUUUCAUGUCAGUGAUGUCACAAGUCUUCCACAAUCAACCUCUGCUACUUAACCUAUCGGAGGCCUCUCUUCAGUAGCGCACUUUGGUGUUGUGUGUUGUUUAAGUGUUUUUAGGACUGUUUGGUAGGAUUAUGGGAGCACUCAAUGUGCAGGUGGCUUGCUCACCCCCAUAUUCCGUUGGUGCAAUUGUUUUGUUGGUUUGUUCUCUUGGUUGUGGCGGCCUUGCGAUCGUGGCACAACUGACUUGUUAGACGCUGCUAUUUCCUCUCCAAAUUUAGAGCAUCUCCAGUUAAGUCCCUAUAUAGGGACAAGCACCAUAUAAAAUGAGUAUAAAAUAAAUAUAAGGACAAAAUGAAUCUCCAAUAGAUCGGAAAGUGAGUCCCUAAAGUAUAGGAACUCGCUAGAUACUUGGUGUAUGUACCCAUAUAUAGGGACUAAAAUGGUGGACCUAAUAGGACAAUUUAAGUGGAAAAACAGGCGUGGGUCCCAGUCACAUAGCCUUGUCUUUUUUUUUCUUUUCUUUUUAACCAUUUAAAAUGGAAGGUCCAAAUUGAUUCUUGCUUUUCAAAUUUGUUUACCAUUGAAAGAUCAAUAGUUCCAAUUAAAAACCCGUUUCAAUUUAGGUUACUCUGUCAUGUUGGUUUUCAAAUUCUUUUGUUUUCUCUUUUCAUAAUGCUUCCGUUGAAAUAUUAAUAUUUUCAAUUUGGAUUACUCUUUCAUUUUGUUCUCUCAUCAUUCCUAUAAAUACCAAAUCAUCUAACCAAAACUUACCACAACUUUAUCUCAUAUACUCAGUUCAUUCGUACUCAAUUCACUUACUCUAGUUACGUUUUUGUGAUGAAACAAUUUAGUGUCAGAAUUUGAAUUUUUUUUUGGUUAAAAUAUUCACAAAAAUAUUUUACGAGAACUUAAUGUUAACAUAAACAAAAAUGUGCACCUAAUCAAAUUAUCACAUAAAAUUGUAAAAACCUCAAAUUUAGGGAUUCUACUAUAAGGACUCUCCCAUUGGAGGUAAUAUUCCUUUAGGGACACAAAGAUUCUCUUUAAAUCUUUAAAUGAGUACUCAAAGGUGGUGGUAGGAGUCCCUAAGACCAUCUCCAACCCUUGGGCUAAAAGCCAAAUUUUUUAGCCCGGAAAAUUUAGUUUUUAGCCUAGAAAUAAUUUUUCUGUUCUAACCCUUCUGACUUAAAAUUUUAGUCUGGGAUUAUUAAAGAAUGAACUUAGGCUAAUUUUUUUCUUAAAUUUUCUUUAAAAAAAAAAUUAUGUAGACUAUCGUAAAUUAAUUUUAUAAACAUUUUAAUCUAAAAAUAUUUAAAUUCCGAUAAAUAUUGAAAAAUCACUAAAUCGAUACAUGAAACUCAUGAAACACUAUGGAAGAAUAUGAACAUCAUGAUAUAGAUGUAUAAACACAAAAUACAUAAAACACACAAGACACACAGAACACAUGUAAAACACAUACAAAACACAUGUGAAGGACAUACAAAACACAUGAUAGAGAUGAAGCACACACAGAACACAUGUGAAACAAAUGACACACACGAAACACAUACAAAAUACAUACAAAACACAUGAUAUGAUGAAGCACACACAACACACAUGUGAAACACAUGACACACACAAAACACGUACAAAAUACAUACAAAACACAUGAAACGCAUGAAACAUAAACCUACACACAUGAAACUGAAACCUUCAAUCAUCCUUUAUAUAAACACAGGUUGAAUAUCAGUUGAUCACACAAUCUUUCAACCUUCAAUCAUCCUCUAUAUUCACCAAUCUUUCAACUUUCAAAGAGUUUUUGUUCCUAAAAAUCCUCAAUAUCUCAUCAGUGGGUGAUAGAAGAAGGCGUAGCAGGGCAAUGCAGAUGGCACAAUACCAAGCAAGCCUUGACAUUGAGGAUUCAUAAAUGAUCAACGCAGAAGCUGAACUUGCAAACUCGCUUAUGCAAUAUGAGUACCAUGCUGAAUCUAGCUAUCGUGAUUUUGUCACGGGGCGUUCAUUUGUGCAGCGUGAUAGAGAAGAGUGUCAUGACUGAAUGACGAAAGAUUAUUUCAUCGAGUGUUCGAGAUUUCUUGCUCAUGAUAUUCGGAGGCGGUUUCGGAUGAGGAGAGAGCUUUUUGAAAGCAUCUUGAAUGCAGUGGUCAAUCAUGACCACUACUUUGCAAGGAAGAUAGAUGUCGUAGGCCGACAAAGUCUAUCACCUCAGCAGAUGCUCACAUCUACAUUUCGGAUGCUAGCUAAUGGGUGCUUUGCGAAGAGUGCAAAGCUAACCUCUUCCUCUCCCACGGUUUGAACAAAUAUAUAGGUAUUUAUAGAAUUUUUUGGUGAAUUUUGAGUUAAAUAAUUUUUUAAUUAUUUUAGCCGUUGGAUUUAAAUUUGGGCCGUUAGAUCUUUUUUUUUACCGUUAAAUUUGAUUAUAUUCGAUCUCAGCCGUUGGAUUCAAUGUAUUUUAAAAUAACAUUUAAAAAAAAAAUUUAAUCUGGACCGUUGGAUCAACCAACAGUCCAAAAAUGUCAACCGUCGGAAGAACAAAAGAGUCAUUGGGCUCAUGAUUGUGGCCGACAGGGCCCUGACAGUGGGUCCCACCCUGUCGAGCGCUGAAGGCUUCAGCCCGAGUGGGGCAAGUUGAACAUGUGACGGGGCCAAGAUUGGGCUGGGCUUGGGUGAGUCCACGCGCAUGUGGGCUAAAUCUUGGGGGGAAUUUGGCUUGAGUUUAGCUUUAGCAUUUAGCCCAAAUAUUUGGCUUGGAUUGGGUUGGGUUUUUUUUGGGGGGGGGGGGGUUGGGGGGGGGGGGGGGGGGGGCGGGGGAGGGGAAUAAAUGGGGUAAUUUGACCUUCAGCCUUCAGCCUAAGGUUGGGUUUGGUCUAAAUAGGGACCCCUAUUGGAGAUGCUCUUAAGUUUUUUUGUAAUUAUGAGUUGACUUUUUUUUUGAGUUUUUUACUGUAUUUUCUUUCUUGCAAUUGGGUUUGUAUUUAAGUUGUGGGCUGUUUUGAGCUCUAUUUUUCUUGUACUAGUCUUUUUAUUUAAUAUAAAUAACUUGGUUUGACAAAAAAAAAAAAUUGAACCAGGUGGCUAAGGAAUUUGAGCUAUUAUUUUCGGUAUUUGUUUAAACCAAACUCCAAAUUAUUCGUAAAAGGAUGAAAAGUUAAAAAUAAAUAAUCGAGCAAGUCACGAUGAUCGAAUCCGUGGCCGUUUCCAUUAUAUAACAAGUAAGCAAAACUAGCUCUGCAAGUAGGAUAUUUUGAUAAGAGUUUUUAUAGUCGGAUAAGGUUAGGGAGAUCAAAUUUUUGAACUCAAUGAUAUAUCAUUAAUACGAAAUAAACACGUUAAUCAUUACUGAAGUAAUAAUUUAGUCAUCAACAUUCACAUCAUUUAGUUUGUAAAAUUUAGUUUAAAAAUUUGAUCUCCCUAACAUUAUCCGCUAGACAUCCACCAACAUGAAUGCGGGCCUCCUCGCUCUCACUAAAGCAUUCAAAGUAGAUCAUUAUUGCCAUUGAGGAUUUGUUUCAUCUCUCAUUUUCACUCAGUUAGUGAUAUAAAGGUUGAUGUUGG